RNAcentral lists this ribosomal RNA (1285 nucleotides) under Diplonevra funebris. RNAcentral describes it as "16S ribosomal RNA". The stretch from base 1040 to 1199 matches the Rfam family "Archaeal large subunit ribosomal RNA", at positions 2544 to 2703 of the family's 2987-position model. The record is from RNAcentral. Lineage: Eukaryota; Metazoa; Arthropoda; Insecta; Diptera; Phoridae.
UAUUUUAUUAAAAAUAAUUAUAUAAUUAAAAUUUAUAGUAUUGUAUAAAAAAAUAAUAAUUUUUAUAAUAGUAUAUUAGUAUUGUGAAAUAAAAUUGAAAUAAUUUGAAAAAUUUUUAUAAAAAAAGAAAAUUUAAUUUAUUGUACCUUUUGUAUCAGGGUAUAUCUAAUAAAUUUUAUUUUUAAAUAAUUUUCUCGAUUUUAAAAGAUUUAAUAAAUUAUAAAAGUUAUUGUAAUAAAAUUAUUUUUAAUAAUUUAUUAGAAAUGAAAUGUUAUUCGUUUUUAAUGGUAUCUAGUUUUUUUAGAAUUAAAUUUAAUUUAGAAAUAUUUAUAAAAAUAUUUAAAUUUUUAAUAAUUUUAAUUAAAUAUUUUAAAAUUAUAUGGGAUAAGCUAUAUAAUUUUUAUUAUAAAUUAUUAAAUUAAUAUAAUAAAUAUAUGCUUAUAAAUAGCAAUUAUUAAUAAUUAUGUUAUAAUUUAUAUUAUAAAUUAUAUGAUUUAGUAUAUUUUAAUUUUUUAUAAAAAUUUAUAUAAUAAUUAAUUUUAUAUAGAAAUAAUGAUAUAAUUAGUAUAUUUAUUUUGUAAUAAUAAAAUAAAUUGUUAGGUUAAAUUAAAGAAUUCGGCAAAAUUUAAUAUUCGCCUGUUUAACAAAAACAUGUCUUUUUGAAUUUAAUAUAAAGUCUAACCUGCCCACUGAAAAAUUUUAAAUGGCCGCAGUAUCUUAACUGUGCAAAGGUAGCAUAAUCAUUAGUCUUUUAAUUGAAGGCUGGUAUGAAUGGUUGAACGAAAUAUUAACUGUUUCAAUUUAAUUUUAUUUAGAAUUUUAUUUUUUAGUUAAAAAGCUAAAAUUUAAUUAAAAGACGAGAAGACCCUAUAAAUCUUUAUAAUUAUUAUUUUAUUAAUAUAUUGAUAAUUUAAUUAAUAAUAAAUUUAAUUAUUUUAUUGGGGUGAUAUUAAAAUUUAAUAAACUUUUAAUUUUUAUUAAACAUUAAUUAUUGAAUAAUUGAUCCAUUAUUAUGAUUAAAAAAUUAAGUUACUUUAGGGAUAACAGCGUAAUUUUUUUAGAGAGUUCAUAUUGAUAAAAAAGAUUGCGACCUCGAUGUUGGAUUAAGAUAUAGAUUUAGGUGCAGUAGUUUAAAUCUUAAGUCUGUUCGACUUAUAAUUUCUUACAUGAUCUGAGUUCAGACCGGCGUAAGCCAGGUUGGUUUCUAUCUUUAAUAAAAUAAAUAUUUUAGUACGAAAGGACCAAAUAUUUGAAUUAUAAAUUUGAAAAAUUGAUUAUUAUUAAU